Molecule: ribosomal RNA, 492 nt
Filed under: uncultured bacterium
Lineage: Bacteria
Description: partial 16S ribosomal RNA
Rfam family: Bacterial small subunit ribosomal RNA
Source: RNAcentral
AGUGAACGCUGGCGGUAGGCCUAACACAUGCAAGUCGAACGGCAGCACAGUAAGAGCUUGCCCUUACGGGUGGCGAGUGGCGGACGGGUGAGGAAUACAUCGGAAUCUACUUUUUCGUGGGGGAUAACGGAGGGAAACUUACGCUAAUACCGCAUACGACCUACGGGUGAAAGCAGGGGAUCUUCGGACCUUGCGCGAUUGAAUGAGCCGAUGUCGGAUUAGCUAGUUGGCGGGGUAAAGGCACACCAAGGCGACGAUCCGUAGCUGGUCUGAGAGGAUGAUCAGCCACACUGGAACUGAGACACGGUCCAGACUCCUACGGGAGGCAGCAGUGGGGAAUAUUGGGCAAUGGGCGCAAGCCUGAUCCAGCCAUACCGCGUGGGUGAAGAAGGCCUUCGGGUUGUAAAGCCCUUUUGUUGGGAAAGAAAAGCAGCAGGUUAAUACCCCGCUGUUCUGACGGUACCCAAAGAAUAAGCACCGGCUAACUUCGUG